AUUGAACGCUGGCGGCAGGCCUAACACAUGCAAGUCGAGCGAGCGGCGGACGGGUGAGUAAUGUCUGGGAAACUGCCUGAUGGAGGGGGAUAACUACUGGAAACGGUAGCUAAUACCGCAUACCAUCAGAUGUGCCCAGAUGGGAUUAGCUAGUAGGUGGGGUAAAGGCUCACCUAGGCGACGAGCCCUAGCGGGUCUGAGAGGAUGACCAGCCACACUGUAACUGGACCACGGCCCAGACUCCGCCGGGAGGCAGCAGUGGGGAAUAUUGCACAGUGGGCGCAAGCCUGAUGCAGCCAUGCCGCGUGUGUGAAGAAGGCCUUCGGGUUGUAAAGCACUUUCAGCGAGGAGGCGUUACUCGCAGAAGAAGCACCGGCUAACUCCGUGCCAGCAGCCGCGGUAAUUC
Molecule: ribosomal RNA, 406 nt
Filed under: uncultured bacterium
Lineage: Bacteria
Description: partial 16S ribosomal RNA
Rfam family: Bacterial small subunit ribosomal RNA
Source: RNAcentral